UCCUCACACCCCUAUUUAUACCCCUAGCCCUCUUUGUUGAGAAAGUCAUAUAAACUUAGGUUUCUUCUUCUUCUUCUUCUUCAACAAUAUUAGGGUUUUGUUAUAUUGAUAGCGUAGACCACUAUCAGUUGAAGCUGCCAGCAUGAUCUAAACUUACCUACAAAUUUAUAUUGAGGCAAGAUUAGAUCAUGUGGUUGCUUCACCCGUUAGUUCGUACUACGAAAAAUAAUCUUAACCCUAUUUUUUUUCAUGAAUAUGCAGUGGGGAAAGAAAGAAACUAAAUUUAAGGGGUCUAGAGAAGGAUUAGAGCUAGCACAUCUAAAGGGUGUCAUGUAGACAACCUAUGAAAAUGAGGAUUUGGAGAAAGAGCUAACACACCUAUGCCAUUGCAAGUAUUAGUGGGUAAUAGUUGUUUUCACGAUUCGAAUUUAUGACCUGACAAAUAUUAGCUGGUAAUAGUUAUUUUCACGAUUUGAAUUCGUGAUCUAUUCCGAGAGACAACCUCCAAAGUUCCCGUUCAUGGUUUUUCUCAACUAUGAAAUGAAAUCAUUUUAUU
Solanum stenotomum is the source of this 556-nucleotide long non-coding RNA. RefSeq lists it as uncharacterized. The transcript is spliced from 2 exons. The record is from RefSeq and is a predicted model, not a curated record. Lineage: Eukaryota; Viridiplantae; Streptophyta; Magnoliopsida; Solanales; Solanaceae.